UCGGCCUACCAGGAUUCCACCAAUCCCUCCAGCACUCAGAGCCCUGACAGACCUCCUCCCAGUGUCUGUCUAUGGCAGUGUUUCUCAACCUGUGCGCCGCGGGGAUCACAUAGGUGCGCCGCGAGUACUCGGACACGUCCUGUACCCAUCCAUCAGAGCUGCAGUCAGCUGGCAUUCCUGAGUUGCCAUAUCACUUGUCUUAUUUUACUUAUUUACACGUUCAUGUGAAAAAUUUUAGAUGUGUGUACAAACUGAGCAUAUGCAUACCAGUUGGUUGUAUACAAGAUGGAAUAUAUGAUGUGAUUUGCAUGAACCUUUAGUAACAAUUAAUAUGGCAACAUAUAACGAGAACAUUGGGUAGGCAGCUCCAGGGCCAGGACCAAGGGGUCUCAGUGCUACAGUUGACUCCCCGUAACGCGUAGUGCCGUACUGCAUUCGUUGCUCAACGAGGCUUAAAAAUGGAGAAAUACCUCAUAAAAAAGCGUAAAUGUGCUGAAGAAAAAGAAGAAGUUGCAGAGGACAUUAUUAAGUCAAAGCGUACAUGUGUCGAAGGCACUGAUGGUGACGUAACAGUAAAACCUGGUGAAAGUGAGACGUCUCGUCCAGGCCAUAUCGUGGAAAGUGAAGAAAAUGAAGUGAGAGUUGAAAAAUCCUAUUUUCUUCCAGCUUGCUGUUCUGUAGUGAAAACUUUGUUUGGGGAUGAGGCUGAAAAAGAAGUGAAAAAAAUUCCUCUCUCAAACGAUACGAUUGGCAGACGAAUCUAGGAUAUGUCAUCUGACAUUGAGAAAAGUGUGUGUGAACUGGUGAAAGAUAAAAUGUUUGCCUUACAAGCAGACGAAUCAACAGAUAUUGGAGGGAAACCUCAGUUACUUGUGUUCAUCCGUUUCAUUGAUGAUAAGAAAAUAACCGAGCAAUUCUUGUGCUGCAAAGAACUAAGUCAAACAACAGGACAGGAAAUAUUUUCUACAGUGACAGAAUAUUUGGUAGAAAUGGACUUAACAUGGAAAUUAUGUGUAGGAAUUUGCACAGAUGGUUGUCCAUCAAUGGUGGGGUCAGUAAAGGGUUUUGUGUCUUUAGUGAAGAAGGAAAAUCCAUUUCUGAUUACCACACAUUGUUUCUUGCACCGUGAAGCUCUUGUUGCUAAAACACUUGGACAAGAUUUAAAAUUUGUUCUUGAUAAUGUCGUGAAAAUGGUGAACUUUAUUAAAAGUAGACCAAAGCAGUCAAGAUUAUUUUCCAGUCUUUGUGAAGAAAUGGGAUCUGCCCACGAAGGUCUUCUCCUCCACACGGAAGUUCGGUGGUUGUCAAGAGGCAGAGUGUUAUCCCGUGUGCAUGAACUAAGAGAGGAAAUUCUUCUUUUCUUUGCUCUUGAAGAGAAAACAGAAUUCUGCGAAUUACUGGCUGACGAAAUUUGGAAUGCAAAAUUAUGUUAUUUGGCAGAUAUAUUUGA
Scylla paramamosain (green mud crab) is the source of this 1450-nucleotide long non-coding RNA. RefSeq lists it as uncharacterized. The transcript is spliced from 2 exons. NCBI's taxonomy places the organism in Eukaryota, Metazoa, Arthropoda, Malacostraca, Decapoda, Portunidae. The record is from RefSeq and is a predicted model, not a curated record.